This is a long non-coding RNA of Anneissia japonica, 1508 nucleotides long. RefSeq lists it as uncharacterized. The record is from RefSeq and is a predicted model, not a curated record. Lineage: Eukaryota; Metazoa; Echinodermata; Crinoidea; Comatulida; Comatulidae. The transcript has 11 exons.
GUCAACAUUCAUUGACCUAGUUGUUUUCUUAGCAUGUGAAACGAACUCUGUUCACAGUACGAUUGUCUAAACAGCUUCUCUCAAAGGCAAAGAGGCGACUUAAAGUUAAUGGAGUAUAUCAACUUUUCAGACUUAGAAAUCGGAAUGAGGACGUUCUAGAAAUUAAUGGACCUACUUCUCGGAAAUACUGAAUUGUAGUGUACCGGUUACUUCAUCUACAUUUAAUAGGUUCAGUUUGCGCGGGUUGAAUACUUGAAUGUGGACACUGAUAUACACAGGAUCAAAUACUUGGCAUUCAACCUACAGCGAGACCUCUUCCUGGUGGAAUACUACAGUGAAUGCUGGGUAACUACAUUAAAUUGUGGGUCAGUUUUAUGGAAUGUCAAAUCAGGAUAAUCUGCCAUGCAACUUUCUUGAGAAGCUUCUUGAGUGCAGGCUGAGUGAUUGUGAACGUUUAUGUCCUGCUACUCUUAGUAGUGUCACUGGAAUUCUCAUUGUCGACCAUACUCAUGGAAGAAGCAGUCAAAGAGGCAAAGCUUGUCAAACUAAGUAACUUGUACAUUCAGCUUUUUCUGUUGCCAAGAGACAUAAGAUGUCAGAUUUGUUCUGUAUUGUUGAGUGCAGUGAAAGUUGAUAAAAAUGCUAGAAAGUUAUCGUCAGUAUCGUGGUUUGUUAGCUGCAGAAGUAGUCCUGUUUUUUGCAUUGUGCCAUCGUUUUUCGACUUGAUGCAAAAUGACCCUGGAGUGAUGCAGCUUGUGUCAGCUGCAUCUGGCGAUGGUGAUCAUCGAAAGUGAGGGAAAUUCCAGACGGGUGGUGGAAGAAGCUAGUGAAAUAAUUAUGGCAUCUAUCUACGAGAAUACAAGCAAUGUAAUUGCACACAAAGUUCAAGCAAAAAGCCAGUCAAGAUAUGUUUUAUCACAAAAGAUACCACCAUCAAUUUCACAAGUUUAAUUCAAAAAGCAGAGAAAUUCUGCAGCAAGAUAAAGCACAGUAAAGUCUAUUGUGAUCAAAAGCAGGGACUCUCUGGUUUCAGAUGAACAAGCAAGCAGAGCAGGGUACCCAUCUACAUAUAUGACAGCAUGAAUGAUGAGUCUGAUCAGCGCCCUCUAUGAUAGUAUCAGGAAUGCAGUUGAAACAUUGAAUAGUAACAGUAAAGAGUGCAUAUAGUGGUCCCAUGAUUUGCAAGUUUAAGGAUCAUAAUGAUUUCUACUCGUAUGUUAAUAUCAAAGGAAUGGUCUUCAAUGGAGAUUGUGUAUACAGAAAACCAAGAAACCAAGAGACAGCAAAAGACACAAGCGUCAACUUCAGAAGUUUUACACCAAAAGCAGAAAAAUUCUGUUGCAGUGAAAUCUAUAGCGAGAAGCAGGGAUUCGCUGGUUUCAUAUGGACCAAGUAAAAGCCAGCAAGCCAAGCAGAGUACCCAGUUCACAUGUCAGGAUGAAUGAGUCUUAUUUCAAUAGCGCCCUCUAUGAUAGUGUCUGGAGUGCAGUUGAAACACUGAAUAGUGA